GGCGAGGUAGCUCAGGUGGUUAGAGCGUAGGAUUCAUAACCCUAAGGUCGGGGUUCAAUUCCCCCCCUCGCUA
RNAcentral lists this transfer RNA (73 nucleotides) under Bacteroidota bacterium. RNAcentral's name for it is "Bacteroidetes bacterium (activated sludge metagenome) tRNA-Met". It matches the Rfam family "tRNA". From Rfam's summary of the family: Transfer RNA (tRNA) molecules are approximately 80 nucleotides in length. Their secondary structure includes four short double-helical elements and three loops (D, anti-codon, and T loops). Further hydrogen bonds mediate the characteristic L-shaped molecular structure. tRNAs have two regions of fundamental functional importance: the anti-codon, which is responsible for specific mRNA codon recognition, and the 3' end, to which the tRNAs corresponding amino acid is attached (by aminoacyl-tRNA synthetases). tRNAs cope with the degeneracy of the genetic code in two manners: having more than one tRNA (with a specific anti-codon) for a particular amino acid; and 'wobble' base-pairing, i.e. permitting non-standard base-pairing at the 3rd anti-codon position. Lineage: Bacteria; Pseudomonadati; Bacteroidota. The record is from RNAcentral.